AUGCUCGGAUCUGGUCUCACGGCCCCCUCUACGCACCGAUCCAGUCUCCGCACGAGACCCGGCCCUCUACCCGGCUCGCCGCGGAGGACCUACGCCUCACCGGGGAUGCCACGGGGAGGGCAUUGGAACAGCUCCCAUCCAGGGUCGCCGCUGCCGCCGUGCUGCGUGGGAAGGGCGCGGCUGAGUUCGACGAGGAGGCGCGGACCAAGACAAUCUAUAUCGGGAUUUAUAGCAUAUGCUCUAUGUGUAGCUGAUGAGACUUUGACAGAUGCAAAUUGGUUGGCUUCGGAAAAUGAGAAGAAGGAAAGAAUGAAUAUACUUACUUGCCCUAAGUGCUAUGUUUGGGAGAUAGAACAUGGUUUACGUAUGCCUUUGCCACAAAUAAGUGCUAUGUAUGGGGCUAAUGAUCUGCCAGGGACCAUGCUUAGCGAUCAUAUAGAAGAACAACUCUUUAAACAGCUCAGGGAAGACAGACACGAAUGGGCCAUUCAUGAUGGGAAAAGCUUUGAUGAGGGUAAAGCGAAAAAAAUUGUUUCAGCACAGUCCAUCUGGUUUGACAUUUUGAAGGCACAAAAUUGUUUCUGUCAGAACUGUCAAGUUUCAGUUACUUACAUUCCUCUUUGUUAG
This 627-nucleotide ribosomal RNA is filed under the name Triticum aestivum (bread wheat). Its description in RNAcentral is "partial small subunit ribosomal RNA". Lineage: Eukaryota; Viridiplantae; Streptophyta; Magnoliopsida; Poales; Poaceae. The record is from RNAcentral.